RNAcentral lists this small nuclear RNA (20 nucleotides) under Arabidopsis thaliana (thale cress). RNAcentral's name for it is "snRNA_10388". Lineage: Eukaryota; Viridiplantae; Streptophyta; Magnoliopsida; Brassicales; Brassicaceae. The record is from RNAcentral.
AACGCAGGUGUCCUAAGAUG